This 393-nucleotide ribosomal RNA is filed under the name uncultured Orbiliaceae. Its description in RNAcentral is "LSU rRNA". It matches the Rfam family "Eukaryotic large subunit ribosomal RNA", at positions 229 to 641 of the family's 3401-position model. Lineage: Eukaryota; Fungi; Ascomycota; Orbiliomycetes; Orbiliales. The record is from RNAcentral.
UGCAGGCUUGCUUCUAUGUGAAACUCCUUCGAAGAGUCGAGUUGUUUGGGAAUGCAGCUCAAAAUGGGUGGUAAAUUUCAUCUAAAGCUAAAUAUUGGCGGGAGACCGAUAGCGCACAAGUAGAGUGAUCGGAAGAUGAAAAGCACUUUGAAAAGAGAGUUAAACAGUACGUGAAAUUGUUGAAAGGGAAGCGCUUGCAAUCAGACUCGCCUUCAGUUGAUCAGCCUUCCUUCUGGUUGGUGCACUCUGCUGUUGGCGGGCCAGCAUCAGUUGGGGCGGCGGGACAAAGGCGGCAGGAAUGUGGCUCGUUCGCGAGUGUUAUAGCCUGCUGUGUCAUGCCGCCAGCCCCGACUGAGGUCCGCGGUUCGCCUAGGAUGCUGGCUUAAUGGUUGU